AGAGUUUGAUCCUGGCUCAGAUUGAACGCUGGCGGCAGGCCUAACACAUGCAAGUCGAGCGGCAGCACAGAGAAACUUGUUUCUCGGGUGGCGAGCGGCGGACGGGUGAGUAAUGCCUGGGAAAUUGCCCUGAUGUGGGGGAUAACCAUUGGAAACGAUGGCUAAUACCGCAUGAUGCCUACGGGCCAAAGAGGGGGACCUUCGGGCCUCUCGCGUCAGGAUAUGCCCAGGUGGGAUUAGCUAGUUGGUGAGGUAAGGGCUCACCAAGGCGACGAUCCCUAGCUGGUCUGAGAGGAUGAUCAGCCACACUGGAACUGAGACACGGUCCAGACUCCUACGGGAGGCAGCAGUGGGGAAUAUUGCACAAUGGGCGCAAGCCUGAUGCAGCCAUGCCGCGUGUGUGAAGAAGGCCUUCGGGUUGUAAAGCACUUUCAGUUGUGAGGAAGGUGGUGUCGUUAAUAGCGGCAUCAUUUGACGUUAGCAACAGAAGAAGCACCGGCUAACUCCGUGCCAGCAGCCGCGGUAAUAC
Molecule: ribosomal RNA, 529 nt
Filed under: Vibrio vulnificus
Lineage: Bacteria; Pseudomonadati; Pseudomonadota; Gammaproteobacteria; Vibrionales; Vibrionaceae
Description: bacterial SSU rRNA
Rfam family: Bacterial small subunit ribosomal RNA
Source: RNAcentral